RNAcentral lists this non-coding RNA (135 nucleotides) under Saccharomonospora xinjiangensis. RNAcentral describes it as "SAM-I sequence". It matches the Rfam family "SAM riboswitch aptamer (S box leader)". From Rfam's summary of the family: The SAM riboswitch is found upstream of a number of genes which code for proteins involved in methionine or cysteine biosynthesis in Gram-positive bacteria. The SAM riboswitch acts at the level of transcription termination control. The record is from RNAcentral. Lineage: Bacteria; Bacillati; Actinomycetota; Actinomycetes; Pseudonocardiales; Pseudonocardiaceae.
AGCUCAUCCAGAGGGGUAGAGGGAACGGCCCGUUGAAGCCCCGGCAACCGGCGUCAGCCUGUCAUCUCGGAUUCGUGCGAGGUAGCUGACGACAUCGGUGCCAAUUCCGCCCCGCGUCAGCGGGAAAGAUGAGGA